This 47-nucleotide ribosomal RNA is filed under the name uncultured fungus. Its description in RNAcentral is "partial 5.8S ribosomal RNA". It matches the Rfam family "5.8S ribosomal RNA", at positions 1 to 46 of the family's 154-position model. From Rfam's summary of the family: 5.8S ribosomal RNA (5.8S rRNA) is a component of the large subunit of the eukaryotic ribosome. The record is from RNAcentral. Lineage: Eukaryota; Fungi.
CAACUUUCAACACCGGAUCUCUUGGCUCUCGCAUCGAUGAAGAACGC